CCUACGGGCGGCAGCAGUGGGGAAUAUUGCACAAUGGGGGAAACCCUGAUGCAGCGACGCCGCGUGAGGGAAGAAGUUUUUCGGUAUGUAAAGCUCUUUUAGUAGGGAAGAAAAUGACGGUACCUGACUAAGAAGCCCCGGCUAACUACGUGCCAGCAGCCGCGGUAAUACGCAGGGUGCAAGCGUUAUCCGGAUUCACUGGGCGUAAAGGGAGCGUAGGCGGCAGCGCAAGUCUGAAGUGAAAUCCUAUGGCUUAACCCUGGAACUGCAUUGGAAACUGUGAGUCUGGAGUGCAGGAGAGGUAGGCGGAAUGCCUGGUGUAGCGGUGAAAUGCGUAGAGAUCAGGAGGAACACCAGUGGCGAAGGCGGCUUACUGGACUGUAACUGACGCUGAGGCUCGAAAGCGUGGGGAGCAAACAGGAUUAGAUACCCUGGUAGUC
This 440-nucleotide ribosomal RNA is filed under the name uncultured bacterium. RNAcentral's name for it is "partial 16S ribosomal RNA". It matches the Rfam family "Bacterial small subunit ribosomal RNA", at positions 338 to 795 of the family's 1533-position model. The record is from RNAcentral.